AGAGUUUGAUCAUGGCUCAGAUUGAACGCUGGCGGCAUGCCUUACACAUGCAAGUCGAACGCGAAAGCGGGGCAACCCGCAAGUAGAGUGGCGAACGGGUGAGUAAUACAUCGGAACAUUUCCAGUAGCGGGGGAUAACCUGUCGAAAGAUAGGCUAAUACCGCAUACGCCCCAAGGGGGAAAGCGGAGGACCGCAAGGCUUCGCACUAUUGGAGUGGCCGAUGUCGGAUUAGCUAGUUGGCGGGGUAACGGCCCACCAAGGCGACGAUCCGUAGCUGGUCUGAGAGGACGAUCAGCCACACUGGAACUGAGACACGGUCCAGACUCCUACGGGAGGCAGCAGUGGGGAAUUUUGGACAAUGGGCGCAAGCCUGAUCCAGCCAUGCCGCGUGAGUGAAGAAGGCCCUCGGGUUGUAAAGCUCUUUCGGCGGGGACGAAAUGGUCCGUGCUAAUACCACGGACUGAUGACGGUACCCGAAGAAGAAGCACCGGCUAACUACGUGCCAGCAGCCGCGGUAAUACGUAGGGUGCAGGCGUUAAUCGGAAUUACUGGGCGUAAAGCGUGCGCAGGCGGUUUGUUAAGACAGAUGUGAAAUCCCCGGGCUUAACCUGGGAACUGCGUUUGUAACUGGCAAGCUAGAGUGUGGCAGAGGGGGGUGGAAUUCCAAGUGUAGCAGUGAAAUGCGUAGAUAUUUGGAGGAACACCGAUGGCGAAGGC
This 718-nucleotide ribosomal RNA is filed under the name uncultured bacterium. RNAcentral describes it as "bacterial SSU rRNA". It matches the Rfam family "Bacterial small subunit ribosomal RNA", at positions 8 to 722 of the family's 1533-position model. The record is from RNAcentral.